UGGGCGGUGGCUCCUGUGUGUCUCCUGCAUCGUCGUCCAUACCGUCGAUGUCUUAGGAGUCGAAGUCAAGCACGUCGGUUAAAUCAUCGACCGUGGAAAUGAAAUGGGUGGUGGGUGGGCAGUGAAUUCCUUCAUCGCCUGCUUCCUACUCAAGCCGGACAUAGUUUGGCCCAGAGCCUCCUGACAAAGAGAGAGACUUUAAUGAAUUUAGCAUGUCGCCAAAGGGCGAGUGCUGAAAGAUGUCCGCAGCGGUAAACUCCAUUACCGGAGCCCAACCUGGCUUGGCUGGCUCGAGGGCGUGCGGACCGGAACCAAUAGUCGGAUACGAGUUCGGGGGCCUGGGGUUACAGGCCUCAAUAGAGGUGAGACCCGUAUUCGGCUCCACGUCCGAUGAGUAUGCGGCCUGCUGGGCGGGGUCCACCCCUCCGUCCUUAGGCAAUGUGACCUGCUCCGAAUUUAGACCUGGGGCUACUGCAGGGAUGAUAUCCCGACCAUUGUCCGACAGCGGGUCUAGGUCGUGCUCGUCGUGACUGUCCGACGCUCCUGGCACAGGCCCGAAUCCGUCGAAGAUCAAGUCUCCGCGAAUAUCCUCCGUGUACUUCAAGUUUCCGAACCUGACCUGGUGGCCAGGGGCGUAGCUGUCGACCUGCUCCAGAUGACCAAGCGAAUUGGCCCGCAGUGCGAAGCCGCCGAACACAAAGAUCUGUCCGGGGAGAAAAGUCUCGCCCUGGACGGUGUUGUUGGUGAUUGAAGACGCCAUCAGGCCUCAAAGCGACGACACAGAGGAACUCUCAAUGAAAUCACCAAUGUCGGUGUCAAAACCGGCGGAUCUCGGGUAGGGGGUCCCGAUAUGUGCGUCUUAGGCUGAUGGUAACAGGAAGUAAGGGACACAAUGUUUACCCAGGCUCGGUCCCUCUCGAUGUAGGUAAAACCCUACUUCCUGCUUAAUUAAUAUUGAAGAUAUGAGCAGUACAAGAGUAUAUCUACCACGAGAUCAUAGAGGCUAAACUCUAGAAGCUAGCCUAUGAUGGUAUGAUUGUAAUUAUGAUCGGCCUUCUAAGGACCAUCCUCUCCGGUUUAUAAAGACACCGGAGAGGGCUAGGGUUUACAUGGAGUCGGUUACAAGGAAAGAAAUAUAAUAUCCGGAUCGCCAAGCUUGUCUUCCACGCAAAGGAGAGUCCCAUCCGGACACGGGACGAAGUCUUGAGUCUUGUAUCUUCAUGCUUCAACAGUCCGGACGAUGUAUAUAGUCCGGCUGUCCGGAUACCCCCUAAUCCGGGACUCCCUCAGUAGCCCCUGAACCAGGCUUCAAUGACGAUGAGCCCCUGAACCAGCAAGCAAGAAAAUCUCUAACAGUUUCUUCAUCCAUAACAUAACCCUCAGGUACAACAGGCAAUUCAUAUUUAGGGGGAGAGUCUUCAUCAUCACUUUCAUUAAUAUUAUCAGUUUCAAUAAUUUCAUUCUCUCUAGCCCUAGCAAGUUGUUCAUCCAGAAAUUCACCUAAUGGCACAGUAUUAUCAAGCAUAGAAGUAGUUUCAUCAUAAGUAUCAUGUAUAGCAGAAGUGGCAUCAUCAAUAACAUGUGACAUAUCAUAAUUAAUAGCAGAAGCAGGUUUAGGUGUCACAAGCUUACUCAAAAUAGAAGGAGAAUCAAGUGCAGAGCUAGAUGGUAGUUCCUUACCUCCCCUCAUAGUUGAGGGGAAAAUCUUAGUUCUUUCGUAUUUCAAGUUCCUCAUAGUGAUCAGCUGAUAUAAAUCCCAAGUGACUCAAAGAAUAGAGCUAUGCUCCCCGGCAAUGGUGCCAGAAAAUAGUCUUGAUAACCCACAAGUAUAUGGGAUCGCAAUAGUUUUCGAGGGUAGAGUAUUCAACCCAAAUUUAUUGAUUCGACACAAGGGGAGACAAAGAAUAUUCUCAAGUAUUAGCAGUUGAGUAGUCAAUUCAACCACACCUGGAAAACUUAAUAUCUGCAGCAAAGUAUUUAGUAGCAAUGUAGUAUGGAAGUAACGGUAACAGCGGCAAAAGUAACUGUAGCAGUUUUGUAGUAAGUGUAAUAGUGGCAACGGUAAAGUAACAAAGCGAAGAUCAAUAUGUGAAAAGCUCGUAGGCAUUGGAUCAGUGAUGGAUAAUUAUGUCGGAUGUGAUUCCUCGUGCAAUAGUUAAAACAUAGGGUGACACAAAACUAGCUCCAGUUCAUCAAUGCAAUGUAGGCAUGUAUUCUGAAUAUAGUCAUAUGUGCUUAUGGAAAAGAACUUGCAUGACAUCUUUUGUCCUACCCUCCCGUGGCAGCGGGGUCCUAUUGGAAACUAAGGGAUAUUAAGGCCUCCUUUUAAUAGAGUACCAUACCAAAGCAUUAACACUUAGUGAAUACAUGAACUCCUCAAACUAUGGUAAUCACCGGGAGUGGUCCCGAUUAUUGUCACUUCGGGGUUGUCAGAUCAUAACACAUAGUAGGUGACUAUUGACUUGCAAGAUAGGAUCAAGAACUCACAUAUAUUCAUGAAAACAUAAUAGGUUCAGAUCUGAAAUCAGGGCACUUGGGCCCUAGUGACAAGCAUUAAGCAUAGCAAAGUCAUAGCAACAUCAAUCUUAGAACAUAAUGGAUACUAGGGAUCAAACCCUAACAAAACUAACUCAAUUACAUGGUAAAUCUCAUCCAACCCAUCUGUUGGGAUCAACGGUAGGGUGCGUCGACUGCAAAUGAAAAAAAAUUACGCGUAGAACAACCAAGAACAUGCUACGGGAGAUGGAUCAAGAUAGUUACCACUAGACGCGCAGUGCCGUGCAGCGGAAGUAGAGUUGAGGCAGCGUGUUCCCGGAGUCGCCUCGCGUUCCCGGAGUCGCCUCCGCCUUGCCGGUCUCCCACAUAGGUUAUCGGAUCCUGCGAACAGGUUCGCUGGAGCGGCGCAAGUGCACCGCCUCUAACGGUAUCCGCACGUGUAGGAGGAAUGUCGUGCGGCAGACUGCUAGGUCCGAUCACACAACCGGCAACGAGUGGAGGUGGCUAUUCGCAAUACAUGCAAACCCUAGUUGCAGCUCUGAAGCGAAUCCACCCAUGAGUGUGUUGCACCUCCACUUUAUAUAGGCGUCUGUCGCGGGCUUAACACUUGGGCCUCGCACGGACCCUAAAGCCCACAAGUCUACUCAGCCACAAUCCGAAUACAGUUCGAAUCACAUCCGACCAGUGUCCUCGGAUCCGACCUCGUAGGUUCCUUCCCUUAAACGCGCGACCCCUUAGGUUCAAGUCGGCUUGGUCACAAUUCAGAUCACCUCUGAACUGCACGAUUGGUAGCGGCCUCUAGCAAGGCAUGCCGAACACCAAGCACACUAUGAAGGUGGUUAGGCGAACCUGUACAACAUGUCAUACUUCUGUUCCCUCUGCCACAUGAUAUAUGUUGUCGGGCUCAAGGCGAGAUUUUCAUCCUUGUGCUAGCCCGACUUCUUUCUCGUUCUAGUGAUGCCGACCACUAUCCGGAUUAUCUCAUAAUCCUUGUCGCAUGGUCAUUCUUAUCCUGGUCGGAUCACACAAGGGGCCCAAAGUAUAUCUCUCCUGAUCAGAGGGGCAAAUCCCAUCUUGCUAGACCAUGUCUCGCAGCAUGGGUCCGGACAAGCCCGAAACCUACCUUUGUAACUACCCAGUCACGGAGUAGUGUUUGGUCGGCCCAAAGCAGGUCUGUCACCAUCCCGAGUACAUGUGCCAGCUCAGGUCUUAGGACAUAGAACGUAUGUUGUACUAGAGACUCACAGAUGACAUAUCGCUGCGUCUCAUAGUUGGGUCUGUCCGACUCGGACCUUAUCUCGGGUCGGAUUCGACUACGUCAAAUCCGAGCAGACCUUUCCAAGUCCAUAUUAUCUGGUUAGCAUCCAAUACUCCAUGGCUAGUGAGACCAAGCCAUCAACCGUGUCAUAUGCUAGUCUAGCCGGUUGCGUGUCCACACAGCCCUUUCGACUAGGGACCUUUUAGGACAGUCAUCAUACAAUGCAUAGUCCCACAAACAAGUCACGUACUUGCUGAUACACAUCAUUGAUAAUGUCCAAGGACUAUCUUUAUUCAUAAACACAUAGGAAAUAUCAUCAUACAUGAUUGCCUCUAGGGCAUAUCUCCAACACCAUCACCGUCCAGCAAGCCUACGAUGGAAUUACUCACGCACGAUGGUGAGCAUCAUGAAAUUGGUGAUGGAGGAUGGUUGAUGAUGACGACGGCGAUGGAUUCCCCUCUCCAGAGCCCCGAACGGACUCCAGAUCAGCCCUCCCGAGAGAGAUUAGGGCUUGGCGGCGGCUCUGUAUCGUAAAACACGAUGAAUCCUUCUCUUUGAUUUUUUCUCCCCGAACGUGAAUAUAUGGAGUUGGAGUUGAGGUCGGUGAGCACUAGGGGGCCCAUGAGGCAGGGGGCAUGCCCAGGGGGGUAGGGCGUGCCCCCCACCCUCGUGGACAGGGUGUGGGGCCCCUGGCCUUGGUUCUUUCGCCAAUAUUUUUUAUUAAUUCCAAAAAUAACUUCUGUUGAGUUUCAGGUCAUUCUGAGAACUUUUAUUAUUCCACAAAAAUAACACCAUGGUAGUUCUGCUGAAAACAGCGUUAGUCCGGGUUAGUUCCAUUCAAAUCAUGCAAGUUAGAGUCCAAAACAAGGGCAAAAGUGUUUGAAAAAGUAGAUACGAUGGAGAUGUAUCACAUUGUUAGUACAAGGGAACAUCAACCUCAAAACAUAACAAAAUUUAUCACCUCAUGGGGAAGUCAAUAUAACUCCAGCCUCCGAGCCUUCCAACUGCCUGGAUCCAUCAAAAUGAAUAGUCCAAUAUGUAUUAUCUGGCUUAUCCUCAAGCAUCUGCAACUCUGUCCAAUCAUUGAUGAAGUCCACAAGUGCUUGAGAUUUUAUAGCCGUCUGAGGCACAUAUUUUAAACCAUGGGGUCCAAGCUCAAUAGCCCACUUAGGUACCCGACCUAUGGCUUCUCUAUUUUGAAUAAUAUCCCCCAAAGGAGCAGAGCUAACCACAGUCAUGGGAUGACCAAGGAAAUAUUGUUUCAAUUUGCAACUAGCCAUGAACACACCAUAAACCAGCUUCUGCCAAUGUGGGUAUCUCUGCUUAGACUCAAUGAGCACCUCACUGACAUAAUAAACUGGCCUUUGAACCAGAUACUCCUUGCCUGACUCCUUCCUUUCAACCACAACUACUACACUGACAGCCCUGUUGUUUGCAGCCACAUAUAACAGCAAGGGCUCCUUAUCAAUAAGGGUUGCAAGAACCGGUGGCUCAGCCAGCUGCUUCUUAAGUGCCUCAAACGCCUUAUUAGCGGCACCGCUCUAGACAAAGUUAUCUAUCUUCUUCAUCAUCUGAUACAAAGGGAUAACCUUCUCUCCUAGGAGAUUUAUAAACCGGCUCAAAGCUGCGAUACGACCCGCCAAACGCUGGAUGUCAUUGAUACAUGCCGGCUUAGCCAAAGAGGUGAUAGCCUUGAUCUUCUCUGGGUUAGCUUUAAUGCCUCUCUUAGACACCAAGAAACCCAAUAACUUGCCAGCUGGCAGGCCAAAAACAGAAUUGGUCGGGUUAAGCAUCAUCUUGUAGACCCGGAGGUUGUCAAAGGUCUCCUUCAAAUCCUCAAUAAACGUCUCCUUCUUCCUGGAUUUCACAACAAUAUCAUCCACAUAAGCAUGAACAUUGCGCCCAAUCUGACCAUGAAGGAAAUUCUGAACACAUCGUUGGUAAGUUGCCUGGGCACUCUUGAGCCCAAAUGGCAUAGAUACAUAACAGAAGGCUCCAAAGGGAGUGAUAAAGGUUGUCUUAUCCUGGUCCUUGACUGCCAUUUUGAUCUGAUGAUAACCAGAGUAAGCAUCCAAAAAACUCAAGCGCUCGCAACCCGCCGUAGCAUCAAUAAUCUGAUCAAUACAAGGGAGAGCAAAAGGAUCAGUCAGACAGGCUUUGUUAAGGUCUGUAUAAUCCAAACACAUCCGCCAAGUGCCAUUUUUCUUAAGCACUAGGUAUCGGAUAAGAGAAAUAUUUUAACCAUUGGUAAGUAAUGAUGAUGUGACUGAUCUUUUUAAGAAGAUGAAAAAUUUAUGAGAAAAAACUCAAAUGGUAGCGACUCUACAUGUUUCGCUUAAUUGUACUUUCUAUAACUUAAGAAAUUAACAUGUCAUUUCUAUUUUUUAUCGGGAAGACCUUUUAGAAUACAACUUGUAAUAGGAUUAGGACUGCUACUCAGUUUAUAAUAGGGCUAGGUUAGGUGCGGCUUGGCUCUUAUAUAUACCUCUUGUAACGGCACAAUGUUGCGUCAACAAUUAUUCAAUAGUUAUUCAAUACAACUCUACAUGGUAUCAGACUUACGAUCCUAGGGUAUGGCUUCCGCCUCUGUUCCGAUCGGGACGAUUGCAUCUGGCGCCGCUGCCGCCGGAUCGAUCAUCGCUGAAUCCAUCUCCUCUGCCCCGCUGCAUGCAAUGCCAUGCAUGCCCCAGCAUGGCCACGGGCCGCACACUCCUGCCUCGUUAGCACAUGGCUUCGGGCUGCAUGCUGCUGCAUCGUUCCAGACGGCUGGCUUUACCCCACCGCCCGCGCAUGGCUACGGGCCACACGUCUACGGCACCAUGCAACACGGCGCGUUGCCCGCAGGAGCCACAGGUGAGCACUACUAUGCGUCAUCUACGGGGUACUAUGCGGUCGCGCCUGUGACUUCGUCCAGUACAUCGUCCGCGGCUCUCUGCAACACACCUGCGGCGCUAUACAAUACACCGGCGAUCUAUGGCGACUACCAGCCAGCUCCUUCGAUGGCACCGUACUACAAUGCUCCUGCUUCAUCAACUGCACCACCACCGCCGCCCGGAUGGCGCCCAUCUCCUGAUCCAUGGACAGGACUAGUCCAGGUGUGGCCUAUGCCCUGGUCUGCCCCUACGCCAUAUGGUGCACUGCCUGCCUAUACUCCAUCCUCGCGCCCCGACUGCCGACCUCACCACACCCGCAAGCUCCCAUGACUACACCGGCCGCUACUUCGACUCCGAGCUGGGACCAAGCUACUUUUCUAUAAGCCAUGAACAACUUUGCUGCACAAGGGAACUCAGGUACGGAUUGGAUGUUUGAUUCUGGUGCUUCUCGUCAUAUGUCUGCAUCGAGUAAUUUGCUUUCUUCUUGCACACCUUCGUCUUUUCCCUUUAUUACUCUCGGUGAUGGAUCUUCUAUUCCUAUUUAAUGUGUCGGUCAGGCUCAAAUGCAAUCCCCAACUAAGCCUCUGCUUCUUCGUGAUGUUCUUGUAGCUCCUGCCCUUAUUGAAAAUCUGAUUUCUGUUCGCCAAAUCACCACUGAUAAUCUUGUUUCUGUUGAGUUUGACCCCUUUGGUUUGUCUGUGAAAGACUACUGGACCAAGUCCGAGAUUGCUCAAUUCAAUAGCUCUGGUGAUUUAUAUUCUCUCCAUGGUGCUCCGGUCGCUGCUCCUCCAACAUCUAUGGUGGCCUCUGUUGAUAUGUGGCACCAACGUCUCGGCCAUCCCGAUAAAAAUGUGUUAUCCACACUUCUUAGUGAAUUUUCAAUACCAUGUAAUAGAGGUUCUCAUAAUUCUUCUAUGUGUCAGUCAUGUCAAUUGGGCAAACAUGUUCGCCUUCCCUUUAGUUCCUCUCAAUACUCUAGUACUUUUCCUUUUGAAUUACUUCAUUGUGAUCUCUGGACAUCACCAAUAGAAAGUGUAUCAGGUUUUAAGUAUUAUCUCGUGAUUCUUGAUGAUUUUACUCAUUAUGUUUGCACUUUUCUUUUACACAACAAAUCCGACGUUCAUAAUAUAUUCAUUAACUUUCAGCGCUAUGUCUCAGUCCAAUUUUUCCUCCCUAUAAGAUUCAUCCAAUGUGAUAAUGGUCGUGGAUUUGACAACUUUAAAAAUCAAAAUUUCUUUCUACAAUAUGGAAUUAUCUUACGUUUCUCCUGUCCUUAUACCUCCCCUGAAAACGGCAAAGUCAAGCGUUCUCUUCGUACUCUUAAUGACAUCAUUUGCACUUUGCUUAUUCAAUCUUCUAUGCCGUCGAUGUUCUGGGUAGAGGCACUCCACACGGCCACAUAUUUACUCAAUAUUCGUCUAUCUAAAGUUAACACACAAACUACUCCUUACUUCUCUUUAUUUCUCUCUCAUCCAAAUUACUUCGACGUUUGCGUCUUCGUUUGUCUUUUUUUCAAACUCCUACUCCACUUCUCCUAACAAACUUUCCCUAUGCUCUAUCCCGUGUGUCCAUCUAGGUUUUUUUGACGAGCACAAGGGUUAUCGUUGUCUAGAUCUUGUUAGUGGUUGUGUUCAUGUGUCUCGUCAUGUAACAUUUGCUAAAAACAUUUCCCCCUUUUCCGAGCGUCAACAAUUAGAUUCCAACUCACCCGCGCCUUCCACUAGUCCCUCUCGUCGCAAUCAUCUUCCCUUCUUUCACCCGCCGACCAAUCCAGCGAAACCAGUCGCAGUAGCAGAUCCUGCCGCCACCACUUCUGUCACCACCUCUGCCCCGGCAGAGGAAAACACAUUACACUCUGACGCGGCAGACCUCCUGCAGCCGUAGUCUUCACCACCAUCUCCCGCGUCCUCUUCCUCCACUACGCCGGACGCAUCCACCACAUCUUCCCCCACCCCUCCUGCUCAUGCUAUUCCCGUUCCAGCUCCUACUAACGAUCAUAUCAUAUGCGCACGUGCCAAGUCCGGGUUUCGUUUACCUGCAGAAGAUUGUCUCAAUCUUCAUGCAACUUUAUCUCCUUCCUCUCUACCCAAAUCUUACAAAUCAGCUCUCCUAGAUCCUAAUUGGGCCGCAGCUAUGGAAAAUGAAUAUGAUGCCCUUCUGCAGAAUAACACGUGGCAGUUAGUUCCUCAUCCUUCCAAUACAAAUAUCAUUUCAGGCAAAUGGGUUUUUCGCCAUAAAUUUAAUUCUGAUGGGAGUCUUGCACGUUAUAAGGCUCGAUGGGUAUGUUGUGGUUACUCUCAGCAACACGGCAUAGAUUAUGAUGAGACUUUCUCUCCAGUUUUCAAGCCCAGCACUAUUCGCACUGUCCUUAGCAUCGUCGUCUCUUCUUCCUGGCCAAUUCAUCAACUAGAUGUCAAAAAUGCUUUUCUUCAUGGCUCUCUUCAAGAAACAGUCUAUUGUCAACAACCUCUUGGCUUCGAACAUUCCUCCUAUCCUAAUCAUGUUUGUCUUCUUCAAAAAUCUCUGUAUGGUCUUAAACAAGCACCAAGUGCCUGGUUCCAACGCUUUUCUACUUAUGCCCAAACCAUCGGUUUUACCCCUUCCCAUUCUCACACUUCACUCUUCACCUUUCAUCACAACAACAACACUGCUUACCUUCUUUUAUAUGUUGAUGAUAUUAUCCUCACAGCUUCCUCCAACAAUUUUUAGAUCAUAUUAUCUCUCUUCUUCGCCAUGAAUUUUCUAUGAUAGAUUUAGGUCUUCUUCACCACUUCUUAGGUAUUGCUGUUAUCCGUGACUCCUCUGGUCUUUUCUAGUCUCAACGUCAGUACACUCUGGAUCUUCUUUCUCGUGCUGGUAUGCUUGAUUGUCAAACUUCUCGUACCCCUGUUGAUACAGGUUCCAAACUCUCUGUUGACGGUGAUCCUUUCUCGAUCCUUCUCUUUAUCGUAGUCUUACCAGUGCACUUCAGUAUCUUACUCUCACUCGUCCUGAAAUUUCUUUUGUUGUCCAACAAGCUUGUUUAUACAUGCAUGAUCCUCGUAUUCCACACUACAAUUAUGUCAAACGUAUUCUUCGGUAUCUCAAAGGCACACUAGACUUAGGUCUUCAUAUCAACAAAUCCUCUCCCGCCUCCUUGACAGCUUACUCUGAUGCAGCUAGGCUGGUUUUCCAGAUACUUGUAGGUCCACAUCCGGAUUUUGUGUUUUUCUUGGUAACAAUUUGGUUUCUUGGUCUUCAAAAAGGCAGGUUACGAUCUCCCGCUCGUCUGCUGAAGCUGAGUACCGUGUUGUGGCUCAUGCGGUUGCUAAAAUGGUUUGGUUGCGCCAGUUGCUAUCGGAGCUGCACCGUCCUAUUGAACAAGCUACCAUUGUUUACUGUGAUAAUAUUUCAGCUGUCUACAUGUCAGGGAAUCUGGUUCAACACCGCCGCACCAAGCAUAUUGAGAUCGACAUUCAUUUUGUUCGAGAGAAGGUGGCUCUCGGUCAAGUUCGUGUUCUCCACGUGCCUACUUCUGCUCAGUUCGCUGAUAUCUUUACUAAAGGCCGGGCGACUACUCCGUUUCAAGACAUUCGUUUCAGUCUCAACGUCGUCGAGCCUACCGUUGACACUGCGGGGGGGGGGGGUGUUAGAAUAUAACUUGUAAUAGGAUUAGGACUCCUACUCGGUUUGUAAUAGGGCUAGGUCAGGUGCGUCUUGGCUCUUAUAUAUACCUCUUGUGGCACAAUAUUGCGUCAACAAUUAUUCAAUAGUUAUUCAAUACAACUCUACAAGACCUAAUCUAGCUGUCCAUGAAAAUACAAAUUUGUUUGUUUGAUUAUUGUGUUUGAAACGUAUGAAAAGAGGUUUUACAAUUUCAUUCAACCAAUAUUUACUAACCCUGUAUUUUUAUGUAACUAUUAUAUGCGGGUGAUAUUUCGAUUUCUUAUGUUGUCUUUUGAGUGUUAUAAUUUGCGAUGCGAUGACUGGUUGUAGGCGGCCCUUUCGGCGAUCCUCCAUGGCGCCAGCCGUGCCUGGUUUCGUUCUUCUGAAUUCUCCGUCGGAGUCGGAGCUGCGUUGUAUGGCCGCAAAUCGACAUGUCGUCGAUAAGGGUGGGCUUUGCCCUGUGUGUUUCAGUCUAUGGGAGUGGGCUUAGCCCUUGUUGUUCCGGUUUUUGUCCGGUUUUCCAUAAUUAAUUAGGCAAUUCUCUUCUGCUUAAUUAAUAGAUGAGGCAAUCUUUGCCUCUGUUUUGAAAAAAAAUAAUUUACGAUGUAGUAUGUGAUUGUACAAACAAUGGAAGGUCAAGCUAUGUACGUAUUGGGGGGGGGAGGCAUUAGCCCCCAGUUUUGGAUCAAGUUGAAGGAUGCUUUUUUGGGAGAGUCUAGAUUGGAAUAUACUAGAAGCGUAAGCGCGCUUUGCUGCACCGCCUAGACUAUAAUGGUUUCAUUUAUGUUUUGUAUCUUUCACGAUGAUAUGUGUGUGAAAGGCUAGACUCUGUCUGUUGUUUCAUCCUGGUGGAUGCUUAGUAUUGUUUGGAAGCUCAUUAGAGAGGGGCAUUUGCAUUAUCUCCAGGACCUAGAGCUUGCUUUGGUGGUCAAACCAUACAUAACAACUACUGUAGGUUUGAGCUAGGGUUCACAACAUGGAUCCCGUUACCCUGCAUCAAAAGCAUGAAACAUAUUUAUCAAAUCAAGAGAUGUUUUCACAAAAGGAACAUCCAUUGGGUUGAAAGUUGAAACAAAAACAAAGAAAUACACCAAAUGAAAAAGGAGAGUAAUAAUUUGCCUACAUAGCACACAAAAUGCAUUUUAACCAAAAAGACACAUGAAUAAAUCUAAGUUGUAGCUUGCAUUAACAACAAACAUGGUACACAACCAAGACAAAAUGCAAACCAACUGGCCAUCUCAUCUACCAAUAUGAGGUGCACCUGUAAGAGGUCACAAUCUAUGUGGCCAUCGCGGUAUUCCCGAAGAUAGCACUCUUCAUACAGAUCCGAUCAUCAUAUUCUCCAUCGCAAAGGUCCUGUAAAAGCGAGUGCUCCAUAGGCCCAAUGUGUUCAAAGCUAAAAAUAAACUCUAUAUGCAUAAACCGGCAAGAAGCCGACCCACACAACCAUGCAACAAUGGCUACCCAAACAACCUAGCACAAUGCAAUGUCGAAAGCCGAAGGCAGAAAAUGCACCUCACAAAAUGCCCCUUAAAUACCAACCAAACACAAAAUCCCUAAGGGCAUUGUUAGCAAACCACGACAAUGAUAGAAGAAAAGCGGAGUAACACGCGCGGAGAGAGGAGAAAACAGAAGGAUCUAUCACCAUGCCGCCCAAACACCGAACCGAGCAAGAAGUGGGCAACCCAAGACGCGGACAUGGUAGCGGGGCACCUCCUCCCUCCAGCUAUAACCCAUAACAGCCAGCCGUAGCGAAAAGAAGCAGGGGUGGUGGACGGGCUGAGGACCUACGCCGAAUAACUUAGGGCAUCUCCAAGGCGAUUCCCCAAAUAGGAACCAAAAUGCCUGCAAACAUCGUCCGAACAUGUCUGAUGGCAUCUCUGACACCCCUCUUUUGUGGAAAAAUAAUGAUACAAAGACGCUCUUCAAUUGACUGCCUAUUUUGUCGAACUGCGCCAGAAAUGAGCUCGGAUCCUCGUCGCAGCUACGGCCAACAGUGACCAAAACCCACACCGAAUAAGGCCUUUCCUAACUGGUUGCGCACGCAACCAGUAUCGGGGCCGUCGCUGUGCCUUGUGGAUCCGAUCGAGCCUGGCCCACAUGGCCCCACCCUGAUAUGGCGAUUUCAGUUUUCCCGUCGAAUAUGAAGCGAAUACAUGUCCUAUCAUAUCUGGCUCCUACGUACGUUGGCGCCUAGCCCGUACUCGCCUACUUCCCCCGUCCACUACCCCCGUGACCAGGUUGCCCCAUCCACCAAGCCAGACGCAGUUCAAAAUUCGAAUCUCAUCAGGCAGACUGGGCUACAUCGACCGGCGGUACCACGCCCUCCCCAUCGGCGCCCCUGGAUCUCGUGAGGUCAUUAGGACUCAAGAAUGAAUCGCGGUGGCGAGUCAUUCACGGAUCUCAUAUUCAGGUUUCUCCUCUCACAAGAUCCUCUUCUUCUUUCUUUGUCUUCUCUAGCAACUACUCCCUUCGUUCGGAAUUACUUGUCUCGAAAAUGGAUGUAUCUAUAACUAAAAUAUGUCUAGAUACAUCCAUUUUCGCGACAAGUAAUUCCGAACGGAGGGAAUAGUUAGGAAAAAUCCACACCCCACACCCACGCACCCAGUGGCACACAACACACCAACGUCAAGAGUGAACACCAGCAGCUCACACAGCCAGUAGCACCUUGCAUCGACAUGCAGCUGCCCACGCACAAAGAGUGGCAGAACACAUGCGUAGACACGGGAGCUCCGCCCAUGGGAGAGAGACGCGAGCUCCUCCCCCGCCGUGAAAGCCACCGCUGAACAUGAGUGUGCCCAGUCCCUGCACACAUACGAGCACUCACACGAAACAGCCAGUGAGCGCUUGUCGCGGCCUUAGCAACCAUGACAGAGCUGUUGAGUAUAUGUGUUAUGUGCAUAUUGUGUAUUGGGUUCGUCUCCUAGUUUUUUGUAUAGUUGAGGUCUGUGACCCACCUUUAUACAUCAUAUAUACAUGCAUAUGCACGAAGUGCAAUACAUCGUGCAAUUCCAACAACAUACAUGGUAUCAGUUUCCGGGUUCUAACCCUAGUCUUCCAUCGCCGCCGCCAUGCGCCUUCUCCGCACCGCGUGCCUCUCCUGCGCCGCCGCCGCCGCCGCCGUUCGCGCGCCCUCCGCGCCGGCCGCCGCUCCUGCCCCUCCCUGCUGCGUGUCGCCCGAGCCGCUAGCUGCGCCCGAUCCCGCUCGCCCAGCUUCUCACGAUCGUACCUCGCGUCGCCACUUCACUCCUUCACGCUAGCCCCGCGCGAGUUGAUCGCUAGCUUAGCUGAUUAAGCUAGCUACUAAUCGUGCGUGAGUGUCCAGCAGAAAAAGAUCUAGUAGCUAGUCAGCCCGCGUGCUCCUGUGUAUGUACGCACCGGACGGAAUCAAGUGGCUAGCUAGUGUCGCUAGCGGCUAUUGCAUCUCCCGCUAGCCGCCAGCCGCGUGACGCACUACCUGCGCGGCCGCACGUCGCUACUGCCUCUAGCCGUCGCCAGCCGCUGCAACCCGCGUCAACGAAGCCUUCUGCUGCUGCAGCCCAACCGUGCCGGUCAUCGCCGUCGUACCAGUAAUGGCGUCACCAGGCCCGUUCGCCGCCGCCUCUGGCGUCCCGUCGCCGGCGCCCUACAGUGCGGCCCCGCCGCCAUACGGGGCGGCCGUCACCUACGACGUGCCCGUUCCCACGUACGGGGCAUACGGGACUCCGCCCGCAUUCACGUACGGGUCUCCACCUGCGUAUGGGGCUCCGCCCGCGUACGAGUCUUCUAGGUACUGGUGGGGGUCGUCAGCGGGCCAGCACUCACCUGCUGGGCAGCAGCCAUACGGCGCCCAGCACCUGCAGCAUCUGUCAGUGGGCCGGCAGAUUUUUUCGGCAGGCCAUCCGGCCUACCCGGCACCGCAGUUGCAGCCGGGGCUGUAUGGAGCAUACCCACCGCCGCCGUUGAGCGGCGGCUAUGGCUUCCCCAUGGCGUCUUCGUCCCCCUCGCCGGCCCUGCUGUCGGCGCCCUGGGACCCGGUGCUCCUCACUGGGCUGCAUGCCGCUACUACGCCGAACAACUACACUGGAGGUGGUGAUUGGUACAUGGACACCGGUGCUACAACUCACAUAUUUGCUCAUCCUGGUAACCUUGCCUCCUUCACUCCUGUCUCCACCGACCGCCGCAUCAUUGUCGACGACGGUUACACACUUCCUAUCACACAUGUUGGGAACACUUCUUUCCCUUCUACUUCUACUCCACUAUCUUUGUCUAACAUACUUGUGUCACCUCAUCUUAUUAAGAAUCUCAUUUCCGUUCGUUGUUUCACUCGUGAAAAUCCUGUUACUGUUGAAUUUGAUGAGCUUGGUUUUUUUGUCAAAGACGCUCGAACCAGGAUGGUGCUUCACCGAUGUGACAGCCCCGACGAGCUCUAUCCGGUGCACUCGCCUUCAUCCAGCACCACCACACCGGUUGCUCUCUCCGCUGGCGUCGAUCUCUGGCACGCUCGCUUGGGUCAUCCCAACCCCGUCACACUUCGUCAUAUUCUUAGGAGUUUCAGUUUCAGUUGCAAUAAGAUCGAGGAUCACACUUGUCAUACCUGUCGAGUCGGCAAACAUGUUCGUCUCCCGUUUACUAAUUCCACCACCAUUGCUUCUUUUCCUUUUCAGCUGAUUCAUAGUGAUGUGUGGACUUCUCCGGUUCCCAGUAACUCGGGCUAUUUAUAUUAUCUAGUCAUUCUUGAUGAUUAUUCUCACUAUGUGUGGACUUUUCCUUUGCGCAGAAAGUCGGAUGCACUCUCUACCUUGACGGCCUUUUACUCCUCUGUUCGCACGCAGUUUGGGCGUCCCAUCCUUGCGCUUCAGAAGGACAAUGGAAAAGAGUUCGACAGCCUCGCUUUCCGCACCUUUUUGUCACAUCACGACACAAUUUUCCGCCUCACAUGUCCGUACACUUCACAGGAGAACGGUCGAGCCGAACGCGUCCUUCGCACUCUGAACGACUGCGUUCGCACGCUCCUGUUUCAUGCCAACGUUCCGCCUCAUUUCUGGCCGGACGCACUCGCCACUGCAUCACUUCUUCUUAACAUUAGACCCUGCCGCCCAUGGUGGAACUACGCACCUCAACAUCUUCUCUUUGGUACGCCCCCGUCUUAUGACGACUUACGUAUUUUUGGGUGCCUUUGCUAUCCUAGCACUGCCGACACUGCUUCUCACAAUCUUGCACCUCGAUCUGACACUUGCAUCUUCAUCGGCUGCCCCUCCAACUCCAAGGGAUAUCGGUGCUACGAUCCCGUCUCCCACCGUGUGUUCACUUCUCGGCACGUUUACUUUGAUGAGCAUGUGUUUCUGUUUCACCAGGUACCCCCGGCUGUUCCUCCCGGCACUGAUGACGCGGGCUCCUCGACGCCUCUCCCAGGGCGCUCGCGCGCCUCUCUUGGCGCGCCCCCUGGCUUUGCGGUGCGCCCCCUACAUGCAGCGCCUCCUACAGCCGUGGCGCUGGCGCCCCCGGUACCCCCGACGUUGGCGCCCGCGGCCCCUGCGGCUCCUCUGGCGCCCGCGGCCACCAUGGCGCCCCCGACGCCUCCGAUGUUGGCGCCCUCGGCCCCCUUGGUGCCCGCGGCCCCCGUGGCGCCCCCGGUGCUGUUGGGGAACGUAGUGAUUUCAAAAAAAUUCCUACGCACACGCAAGAUCAUGGUGAUGGUAUAGCAACGAGAGGGGAGAGUGUUGUCCACGUACCCUCGUAGACCGUAAGCGGAAGCAUUAUGACAAUGCGGUUGAUGUAGUCGUACGUCUUCACGAUCCGACAGAUUCAAGCACCGAACGUACGGCACCUCCGUGUUCAGCACACGUUCAGCUCGAUGACGUUCCCCGGGCUCCAAUCCAGCAAAGCGUCGGGGAUGAGUUUCGUCAGCACGACGGCGUGGUGAUGAUGAUGAUGUUCUACCGGCGCAGGGCUUUGCCUAAACUCCGCGACGAUAUGACCGAGGUGGAAUAUGGUGGAGGGGGGCACCGCACACGGUUAAGGAACGAUCCGUAGAUCAACUUGUGUGUUCUAGGGGUGCCCCCCUCCCCCGUAUAUAAAGGGGGAGAGGAGGAGGGGGCCGGCCAAGGGGAGAGGCGCGCCCUAGGGGGAGAAUCCUACUCCAAGUAGGAUUCCCCCUCUUUCCUAGUCCAAGUAGGAGAGGGGAAGGAAGGGAAGGAGAAGGAGAAGGAAGGAGAGGGAGGAAAAGGAGGAAAGGGGGGCCGGCCCCCUAGUCCAAUUCGGUUUGGGCUAGGGGGGCCGCGCGCCCUGCCUCCUCUCUUCCACCACUUGGCCCAUGAGGCCCAUUGCUUCUUCCUCGUAUUCCCGUAACUCCUCGGUACCCACGAAAAUACCCGAAUCACUCGGAACCUUUCCGAACUCCGAAUAUAGUCGUCCAAUAUAUUGAUCUUUACGUCUCGAUCAUUUCGAGACUCCUCGUCAUGUCCCCGAUCUCAUUCGGGACUCCGAACUCUUUCGGUACAUCAAAACUCAUAAACUCAUAAUAAAACUGUCAUCGAAACCUUAAGCGUGCGGACCCUACGGGUUCGAGAACUAUGUAGACAUGACCUAGAACUAUUCUCGAUCAAUAACCAAUAGCGGAACCUGGAUGUCCAUAUUGGUUCCUACAUAUUCUACGAAGAUCUUUAUCGGUCAAACCGCAUAACAACAUACGUUGUUCCCUUUGUCAUCGGUAUGUUACUUGCCCGAGAUUCGAUCGUCGGUAUCCAAUACCUAGUUCAAUCUUGUUACCGGCAAGUCUCUUUACUCGUUCCGUAAUACAUCAUUUCAUAACUAGCUCAUUAGUUACAAUGCUUGCAAGGCUUAAGUGAUGUGUAUUGCCGAGAGGGCCCAGAGAUACCUCUCCGACAAUCGGAGUGACAAAACCUAAUCUCGAAUUAUGCCAACUCAACAUGUACCUUUGAAGACACCUGUAGAGCACCUUUAUAAUCACCCAAUUAUGUUGUGACGUUUGGUAGCACACAAAGUGUUCCUCCGGUAAACGGGAGUUGCAUAAUCUCAUAAUUACAGGAACAUGUAUAAGUCAUGAAGAAAGCAAUAGCAACAUACUAAACGAUCAAGUGCUAAGAUAACGGAAUGGGUCAAGUCAAUCACAUCAUUCUUCUAAUGACGUGAUCCCAUUAAUCAAAUGACAACACAUGUCUAUGGUUAGGAAACAUAACCAUCUUUGAUUAAUGAGCUAGUCAAGUAGAGGCAUACUAGUGACGUUAUGUUGGUCUAUAUAUUCACACAUGUAUUAUGUUUCCGGUUAAUACAAUUCUAGCAUGAAUAAUAAAAAUUUAUCAUGAUAUAAGGAAAUAAAUAAUAACUUUAUUAUUGCCUCUCGGGCAUAUUUCCUUCAGUCUCCCACUUGCACUAGAGUCAAUAAUCUAGUUCACAUCGCCAUGUGAUUUAACACCAAUAUUCAUACUUGUAUAUGAUUAACACCCAUAGUUCACAUCGUCAUGUGACCAACACCUAAAGGAUUUACUAGAGUCAAUAAUCUAGUUCACAUUGUUAUGUGAUUAACACCCAAAGAGUACUAAGGUAUGAUCAUGUUUUGCUUGUGAGAGAAGUUUAGUCAACGGGUCUGUCACAUACAAAGCCGUAUGUAUUUUGCAAAUAUUCUAUGUCUACAAUGCUCUGCACGUAGCUACUCUAGCUAAUUGCUCCCACUUUUAAUAUGUAUCCAGAUUGAGACUUAGAGUCAUUUGGAUCGAUGUAAAAGCUUGCACCGAUGUAACUCUUUACUACGGGCUCUUUUAUCACCUCCAUAAUCGAGAAAUAUUUCCUUUGUCCUCACUAAGGAUAUUCUUGACCAAUGUCCAGUGAUCUACUCUUAGAUCACUAUUGUACUCCCUUGUCAAAUACAGAGCAAGGUAUACAAUAGGUCUGGUACAUAGCAUAGCAUACUUUAUAGAACCUAUGACUGAGGCAUAGGGAAUGACUUUCAUUCUAUUUUCUAUUUUCUGCCGUGGUCGGGAUUUGAGUCUUACUCAAUUUCACACCUUUGCAACACAGGCAAGAAACUCUUUCUUUGACUGUUUCAUUUUGAACUACUUCAAAAUCUUGUCAAGGUAUGUACUCAUUGAAAAACUUAUCAAGCGUCUUGAUCUAUCUCAAUAGAUCUUGAUGCUCAAUAUGUAAGUAGCUUUACUGAGGUCUUUCUUUUUAAAACUCCUUUCAAACACUCAUUUAUGCUUUGCAGAAUAAUUCUGCAUUAUUUCCGAUCAACAAUAUGUCAUUCACAUAUACUUAUCAGAAAUGUUGUAGUGCUCCCACUCACUUUCUUGUAAAUACAGGCUUCACCGCAAGUCUGUAUAAAACUAUAUGCUUUGAUCAUCUUAUCAAAGUGUAUAUUCCAACUCAGAGAUGCUUGCACCAGUCCAUAGAUGGAUUGCUGGAGUUUGCAUAUUUUGUUAGCACCUUUAGGAUUGACAAAACCUUCUGGUUGCAUCAUAUACAACUCUUCUUUAAGAAAACCAUUAAGGAAUGCAGUUUUGACAUCCAUUUGCCAGAUUUCAUAAAAUGUGGCAAUUGCUAACAUGAUUCAGACAGACUUAAGCAUCGACACGAGUGAGAAAAUCUCAUCGUAUUCAACACCUUGAACUUGUCGAAAAACUUUUUGCAACAAGUCGAGCUUAGUAGAUAGUAACACUACUAUCAGGGUUCGUCUUCCUCUUGAAGAUCCAUUUAUUUAACAUGGCUUGCUGAUCAUCGAGCAAGUCAAUCAAAGUCCAUACUUUGUUCUCAUACAUGGAUCAUAUCUCAGAUUUUAUGGCCUCAAGCCAUUUCGCAGAAUCUGGGCUCAUCAUCGCUACCUCAUAGUUCGUAGGUUCAUCAUGGUCUAGUAACAUGAUUUCCAGAAUAGGAUUACCGUACCACUCUGGUGCAGACCGUACUCUGGAAGACCUACGAGGUUCUGUAGUAACUUGAUCAGAAGUUUCAUGAUCAUCAUCAUUAGCUUCCUCAUUAAUUGGUGUAGGAAUCACUGGAACUGAUUUCAGUGAUGAACUAUUUUCCAAUUCAGGAUAAGGUACAGUUACCUCAUUAAGUUCUACUUUCCUCCCACUCACUUCUUUUGAGAGAAACUCCUUCUCUAGAAAGGAUCUAUUUUUAGCAACGAAUGUUUUGCCUUCGGAUCUGUGAUAGAAGGAGUACCCAACAGUUUCCUUUGGGUAUUCUAUGAAGACGCACUUCUCCGAUUUGGGUUCGAGCUUAUCAGGUUGAAAACUUUUUUCAUAUAAGCAUCGCAACUCCAAACUUUAAGAAACGACAGCUUAGGUUUAUUGCUAAACCAUAGUUCAUACAGUGUCAUCUCAACGGAUUUAGAUGGUGCCCUAUUUAAAUGUGAAUGCAGCUGUCUCUAAUGCAUAACCCCAAAACGAUAGUGGUAAACCGAUAAGAGACAUCAUAGAUCGCACCAUAUCUAGUAAAGUACGAUUACGAUGUUCGGACACACCAUUACAUUGUGAUGUUCCAGGUGGCGUGAGCUGUGAAACUAUUCCACAUUGUUUUAAUUGAAGACCAAACUCGUAACUCAAAUAUUCGUCUCCGCGAUCAGAUCGCAGAAACUUUAUUUUCUUGUUACGAUGAUUUUUCCACUUCACUCUGAAAUUCUUUGAACCUUUCAACUAUUUCAGACUUAUGUUUCAUCAAGUAGAUAUACCCAUAUCUACUCAAAUCAUCUUGUGAAGGUCAGAAAAUAACGAUACUUGCCACGAGCAUCAACACUCAUUGGAUCGCAUACAUCGGUAUGUAUUAUUUCCAAUAAGUCAGUAGCUUGUUCCAUUGUUCCGGAGAACAGAGUUUUAGUCAUCUUGCCCAAAAGGCACGGUUCGCAAGCAUCAAAUGAUUCAUAACCAAGUGAUUCCGAAAAUCCAUCUUUAUGGAGUUUCUUCAUGCGCUUUACACCGAUAUGACCCAAACGGCAGUGCCACAAAUAAGUUGCACUAUCAUUAUUAACUUUGCAUCUUUUGGCAUCAAUAUUAUGAAUAUGUGUAUCACUACGAUCAAGAUCCAACAAACUAUUUUCAUUGGGUGUAUAACCAUCGAAGGUCUUAUUCAUGUAAACAGAAUAAUAAUUAUUCUCUAACUUUAAAUGAAUAACCGUAUCGCAAUAAACACGAUCAAAUCAUGUUCAUGCUCAACGCAAAUGCCAAAUAACAUUUAUUUAGGUUUAACACUAAUCCCGAAAGUAUAGGGAGUGUGCGAUGAUGAUCAUAUCAAUCUUGGAACUACUUCCAACACUCAUCAUCACUUCCCCUUCAACUAGUCUCUGUUUAUUCUGUAACUCCUGUUUCGAGUUACUAAUCUUAGUAACCGGACAAGUAUCAAAUACUCAGGGGAUACUAUAAACACUAGUAAGGCACACAUCAAUAACCUGUAUAUCAAAUAUACCUUUGUUCACUUUGUCAUCCUUCUUAUCCACCAAAUAUUUGGAGUAGUUCCACUUACAGUGACCAUUUCCUUUGCAGUAGAAGCACUCAGUUUCAGGCUUAGGUCCAGCUUUGGGCUUCUUCAUGGGAGUGACAACUUGUUUGCCAUUCUACUUGAAGUUUCCCUUUCUUUCCCUUUGCCCUUUUCUUGAAACUAGUGAUCUUGUCAAUCAUCAACACUUUAUGCUCUUUCUUGAUUUCUACCUUCGUUGAUUUCAACAUCACGAAGAGCUUGGGAAACACUUUCGUCAUCCCUUGCAUAUUAUAGUUCAUCAUGAAGUUCUACUAACUUGGUGAUGGUGACUAGAGAAUUCUGUCAAUCACUAUUUUAUCUGGAAGAUUAACUCCCACUUGAUUCAAGCGAUUGUAGUACCCAGACAAUCUGAGCACAUACUCACUAGUUGAGCGAUUCUCCUCCAUCUUUUAGCAAUAGAACUUGUUGGAGACUUCAUAUCUCUCAACUCGGGUAUUUACUUGAAAUAUUAACUUCAAUUCCUGGAACAUCUCAUAUGGUCCAUGACGUUCAAAACGUCUUUGAAGUCCCGAUUCUAAGUCAUAAAGCAUGGUGCACAAAACUAUCAAGUAGUCAUCAUAUUGAGCUAGCCAAACGUUCAUAACGUCUGCAUCUGUUCCUGCAAUAGGUCUGUCACCUAGCGGUGCAUUAAGGACAUAAUUCUUCUGUGCAGCAAUGAGGAUAAACCUCAAAUCACGGAUCCAAUCUGUAUCAUUGAUACUAACAUCUUUCAAUACAAUUUUCUUUAGGAACAUAUUAAAAUAAACAUAUGAAAGCAACAACGCAAGCUAUUGAUCUACAACAUAAUUUGCAAAAUACUACCAGGACUAAGUUCAUGAUAAAUUUAAGUUCAAUUAAUCAUAUUACUUAAGAACUCCCACUUAGAUAGACAUCCCUCUAAUCCUCUAAGUGAUUACGUGAUCCAUAUCAACUACACCAUGUCCGAUCGUCACGUGAGAUGGAGUAGUUUCAACGGUGAACAUCAAUAUGUUGAUCAUAUCUACUAUAUGAUUCACGCUCGACCUUUCGGUCUCCGUGUUCCGAUGCCAUAUCUGUAUAUGCUAGGCUCGUCAAGUUUAACCUGAGUAUUCCGCAUGUGCAACUGUUUUGCACCCGUUGUAUUUGAACGUAGAGCCUAUCACACCCGAUCAUCACGUGGUGUCUCAGCACGAAGAACUUUCACAACGGUGCAUACUCAGGGAGAACACUUCUUGAUAAUUAGUGAGAGAUCAUCUUAAAAUGCUACCGUCAAUCAAAGCAAGAUAAGAUGCAUAAAGGAUAAACAUCACAUGCAAUCAAUAUAAGUGAUAUGAUAUGGCCAUCAUCAUCUUGUGCUUGUGAUCUCCAUCUCCGAAGCACCAUCGUGAUCACCAUCGUCACCGGCGCGACACCUUGAUCUCCAUCGUAGCAUCGUUGUCGUUUACGCCAUCUAUUGCUUCUACGACUAUCGCUACCGCUUAGAGAUAAAGUAAAGCAAUUACAGGGCGUUUGCAUUUCAUACAAUAAAGCGACAACCAUAUGGCUCCUGCCAGUUGCCGAUAACUUCGGUUACAAAACAUGAUCAUCUCAUACAAUAAAAUAUAGCAUCACGUCUUGACCAUAUCACAUCACAACAUGCCCUGCAAAAACAAGUUAGACGUCCUCUACUUUGUUGUUGCAAGUUUUACGUGACUGCUACGGGCUGAGCAAGAACCGUUCUUACCUAUGCAUCAAAACCACAAUGAUAGUUUGUCAAGUUAGUGUUGUUUUAACCUUCGCAAGGACCAAGCGUAGCCACACUUGGUUCAACUAAAGUUGGAGAAACAGACACCCGCUAGUCACCUGUGUGCAAAGCACGGCGGUAAAACCAGUCUCGCGUAAGUGUACGCAUAAUGUCGGUCCGGGCCGCUUCAUCCAACAAUACCGCUGAACCAAAGUAUGACAUGCUGGUAAGCAGUAUGACUUGUAUCGCCCACAACUCACUUGUGUUCUACUCGUGCAAAUAACAUCAACGCAUAAAACCUAGGCUCGGAUGCCACUGUUGGAGAACGUAGUGAUUUCAAAAAAAAUCCUACGCACACGCAAGAUCAUGGUGAUGGCAUAGCAACGAGAGGGGAGAGUGUUGUCCACGUACCCUCAUAGACCGUAAGCGGAAGCGUUAUGACAACGCGUUUGAUGUAGUCGUACGUCUUCACGAUCCGACCGAUCCAAGCACCGAACGUACGGCACCUCCGUGUUCAGCACACGUUCAGCUCGAUGACGUUCCCCGGGCUCCAAUCCAGCAAAGCGUCGGGGAUGAGUUUCGUCAGCACGACGGCGUGGUGACGAUGAUGAUGUUCUACCGACGUAGGGCUUCGCCUAAACUCCGCGACGAUAUGACCGAGGUGGAAUAUGGUGGAGGGGGGCACCGCACACGGCUAAGGAACGAUCCGUAGAUCAACUUGUGUGUCAUGGGGUGCCCCCCUCCCCCGUAUAUAAAGGGGGAGAGGAGGAGGGGCCGGCCAAGGGGAGAGGCGCGCCCUAGGGGGAGAAUCCUGCUCCAAGUAGGAUUCCCCCUCUUUCCUAGUCCUAGUCCAAGUAGGAGAGGGGAAGGAAGGGAAGGAGAAGGAGAAGGAAGGAGAGGGAGGAAAAGGAGGAAAGGGGGGGCGGCCCCCUAGUCCAAUUCGGUUUGGGCUAGGGGGGCCGCGCGCCCUGCCUCCUCUCUUCCACCACUUGGCCCAUGAGGCCCAUUGCUUCUUCCUCGUAUUCCCGUAACUCCCCGGUACCCCCGAAAAUACCCGAAUCACUCGGAACCUUUCCGAACUCCGAAUAUAGUCGUCCAAUAUAUCGAUCUUUACGUCUCGACCAUUUCGAGACUCCUCGUCAUGUCCCCGAUCUCAUCCGGGACUCCGGACUCCUUCGGUACAUUAAAACUCAUAAACUCAUAAUAAAACUGUCAUCGAAACCUUAAGCGUGCGGACCCUACGGGUUCGAGAACUAUGUAGACAUGACCUAGAACUAUUCUCGGUGAAUAACCAAUAGCGGAACCUGGAUGUCCAUAUUAGUUCCUACAUAUUCUACAAAGAUCUUUAUCGGUCAAACCGCAUAACAACAUGCGUUGUUCCCUUUGUCAUCGGUAUGUUACUUGCCCGAGAUUCGAUCGUCGGUAUCCAAUACCUAGUUCAAUCUCGUUACCGGCAAGUCCCUUUACUCGUUCCAUAAUACAUCAUUUCAUAACUAGCUCAUUAGUUACAAUGCUUGCAAGGCUUAUAUUACCAAGAGGGCCCAGAGAUACCUCUCCGACAAUCGGAGUGACAAAACCUAAUCCCAAAUUAUGCCAACUCAACAUGUACCUUUGGAGACACCUGUAGAGCACCUUUAUAAUCACCCAAUUACGUUGUGAUGUUUGGUAGCACACAAAGUGUUCCUCCGGUAAACGGGAGUUGAAUAAUCUCAUAGUUACAGGAACAUGUAUAAGUCAUGAAGAAAGCAAUAGCAACAUACUAAACGAUCAAGUGUUAAGCUAACGGAAUGGGUCAAGUCAAUCACAUCAUUCUUCUAAUGAUGUGAUCCCAUUAAUAAAAUGACAACACAUGUCUAUGGUUAGUAAACAUAACCAUCUUUGAUUAAUGAGCUAGUCAAGUAGAGGCAUACUAGUGACGUUAUGUUGGUCUAUGUAUUCACACAUGUAUUAUGUUUCCGGUUAAUACAAUUCUAGCAUGAAUAAUAAAUAUUUAUCAUUAUAUAAGGAAAUNNNNNNNNNNNNNNNNNNNNNNNNNNNNNNNNNNNNNNNNNNNNNNNNNNNNNNNNNNNNNNNNNNNNNNNNNNNNNNNNNNNNNNNNNNNNNNNNNNNNNNNNNNNNNNNNNNNNNNNNNNNNNNNNNNNNNNNNNNNNNNNNNNNNNNNNNNNNNNNNNNNNNNNNNNNNNNNNNNNNNNNNNNNNNNNNNNNNNNNNNNNNNNNNNNNNNNNNNNNNNNNNNNNNNNNNNNNNNNNNNNNNNNNNNNNNNNNNNNNNNNNNNNNNNNNNNNNNNNNNNNNNNNNNNNNNNNNNNNNNNNNNNNNNNNNNNNNNNNNNNNNNNNNNNNNNNNNNNNNNNNNNNNNNNNNNNNNNNNNNNNNNNNNNNNNNNAGCCACUCUUCGUGAGCCGCUCUGGAUGGCUGCGAUGCAAGAGGAGUUUGACGCCCUGUUGCGCAACCGGACGUGGCAGCUUGUUCCCCGUCCCCGGCACGCCAACGUGAUUACCGGGAAGUGGGUCUUGAAACACAAGAUCCGUCCUGAUGGUACCCUUGAUCGCUACAAAGCACGUUGGGUCGUUCGUGGCUUCCGACAGCAUGCUGGCAUCGACUUCAGUGACACCUUCGCUCCGGUCGUCAAGCCCGGCACGAUACACACGGUUCUCCACCUUGCGGUCUCCCGUGCUUGGCCGGUGCACCAGAUGGACGUCUCCAACGCCUUCCUCCAUGGUCACCUCGAGGAGCAGGUCUUCUGCCAGCAGCCCACCGGGUUUGUUGACCCGGCGCUUCCCGACCACGUGUGCCUGCUUUUGCGGUCCUUGUACGGACUCAAGCAGGCUCCGCGCGCUUGGUACCAGCGCAUCACGGCGUUUCUAACCAGCUUGGGUUCCGCUCUACCCGCUCGGAUGCCUCGCUCUUCGUCUAUCAUCAAGGCUCUGACACGGCCUACUUGCUGCUCUAUGUCGACGACAUCAUCCUGGCGGCAUGUACAGCUGGUCUCCUCAGUCAGCUCACGGCUCAUCUUCGCGCUGAGUUUGCCAUCAAGGACUUGGGUCCUUUGCACUACUUCCUCGGUGUCGAGGUGGUGCGUCGUCCGGAUGGCUUCUUCCUUCAUCAGCGGAAGUACGCUCAUGAGCUCCUCGAGCGCGCCGGCAUGCUUAACUGCAAGCCCGCCGCUACGCCUGUUGAUACGAAGGCCAAGCUUUCUUCCACGGAUGGUUCUCCUGCUUCGGAUGAUGUCUUCUAUCGGUCUAUCAUUGGUGCUCUCCAGUACCUCACUCUGACUUGCCCAGAGAUCCAGUAUGCCGUGCAACAGGUGUGUCUUCAUAUGCAUGCUCCUCGAGACGUUCACUGGGCUGCCGUCAAGCGGAUUCUCCGCUAUAUCUGUGGCACUAUGGAUCUUGGCAUCACGCUUCAUGCCUCUGCCGACACCGCCCUCACCGCCUACUCUGACGCAGACUGGGCGGGCUGCCCUGACACUCGUCGCUCCACUUCAGGCUAUUGUGUCUAUCUUGGACCCUCACUCAUCUCGUGGUCGUCCAAGCGGCAGCCUACAGUCUCUCGUUCCAGUGCUGAGGCUGAGUAUCGUGUGGUGGCCAACGCCGUCACCGAGUGUUCGUGGCUUCGCCAGCUGCUUCAGGAGCUCCCUUGCCUUGUUGACCGUGCCACGGUGGUCUACUGCGACAACGUCUCGGCGGUCUACCUCUCCGCUAACCCGGUGCAUCAUCGACGGACCAAGCAUAUUGAGUUGGAUAUUCAUUUUGUUCGGGAACAGGUGGCCCUUGGCCAUAUUCGCGUUUUGCACAUCCCUACUUCGCAACAAUUUGCCAAUAUCAUGACCAAGGGCUUGCCUACGGCGUCAUUUGAGGAGUUCCGGUCCAGUCUUUGCGUCAGCCGCGGUGCCGCUUCGACUGCAGGGGGGGUGUUGAGUAUAUGUGUUAUGUGCAUAUUGUGUAUUGGGCCCAAGGCCAAACGUGCGGACGGCUGUGUUCGCGUGGCGGCUGUUGGUCGUGUGAGGGAGGAGCUGAGUAGUGUUUCAUCCCUGUUGGCAAGCUCGCAUGAGCUCCACGAGUCUGACUCAUCGCCCACCCGCGUGCACCGGCCAAAGACCUACUCCAGCGCUGGUGAAUGCAGUAGUGUCUUCGCGAGAGAAGUUUGGCAUGUCAUUUGUGGAGCUCUGGGUAGGCCAUAGUGGGCGCCGAACCCGGACUCGAGGCUGCGGGACUGGGGUGCCGUCAUGGCUACUCCGGGACGGGAGGCGAAGAACACACGCGCUUUCCUGCUGCUCGUGCUAUGGGAAAUUUGGAAACACCGAAACGCAAUUGUCUUCAAUGGAGCCUCCGUCUCUUCAAAGACGCUAGCGAGCCGAAUCGACACCGAAGGACGCGCAUGGAAGCGAGCCGGCAUCUUCAAAGGCAACGUAGAACCUACUAUUGAGGGUUUAGUUAGGUGGGCUGAGGGGAGAAGCUAGGCUUUGAUAGUGUACGGCUAAGCCGGUGGAGUUGGUCCGCAUGUAACAUUGUAACAUGUAAACGUCAACGUGAACGGGCUCUUGUCCCCAUCCCCUUUUUUUAAUAUAUAGUACGCACACUCGUGCGUAUCCAGAAAAAAAUGCAGCAGCAGCACGCGUCGAACGACGUAGAGGAAACCGCAGUCGAGGAAGAGCACCAGCCGUGGUACCCAGCGAGGUAAGGGGUGAGGAAGCGGAUGAAGGAGAAACCGGUGCUCCCCAUCAUGGUUUGGAUCUGGGCGGUGGUGAGUGGUGAGACGAAUGGAGCGGCCGAGCCCGCCGCAACCUCUGCGAAGCACUACCAGCGGACCGAGCCGACGCGUGCCCCCAUGCGACCCCACAAGAAGACCGAGUCAAAAUCGUGAUGCAAAGUCAAAAUUGAAGCCUUAAUUGAUUCUCAGCACUUCCCACCCUAGGGAGCUUAAUGAUAUAGUAGAUUUUUAGCCAGCUCUAUCAUUGCAAAUAAUAGUUAAUUCAUACCCAGAUCCUUAGUAAACCCAUUGGCAAAAAAAUCUGGCUUCGCCCUUGGACGACACAACCUAUGGUUCCCAGUCAUAUAUACCAGCUCACUUCUGCCCUCCCCCUUUGCGAUCAGCCACACAGACAGUGGCCGCAAGCAUAACCAAAAAGACUAUGAAGUUAUGUGGAAUUAAUUGUCUCCCAACUCAAUCUCAAUCCAACUUGUCGCCACACAAAUUGUUGUGGAAUUCACAUUUAUAGUCGUCUCCGAAGCAAGGGAGCAAGUGAUGCAGCAUAUGACUCCACGGACUGGCACACCCUCGGUUUUUGUUUUCUUAUUGGGAUCUUGCUUUUCAUGGUUCUUAUCUCUGCAACUCGCGAUUUUCGCGAGAGAAUCAAAUCCAAGUUGAUGAAGAUCAUGAUUUGGGCUGUCAUUUGAUCGAUUUCCUUCAUUUGAUCAGUGCCCAAUAGAUUAUCCAUGGCAUCUACAUGCCAUAGGGAUCCAUUAGAACAGGGCAAUACCUCAUUUUGGUUAGAACAAGGUUAAUAAUAUAUCCAAUAACCGGCUACAAGGAGUUGCCACAUCACCUAUAGUCAACCUAAUAGUAGCAAAUUAUAAAUAUGCACUGCUUUACUAACAGCUGGUUCACCUUACAACCUCACAAGGUGUUAGGAUCCUAAAAAACGUGUUAGGACAAUUAUUAACGUGUUUUUAAAGAACUUAUCAACGUGGUUUCUAGGAGUCCAUUUUAAAAUAGAUAGGGAUAGGGAUAGGGAUAGAGAUGACAAUGAUGUAAUAAAUUGAGUCAAUCCUUCAUUAAUGAUGAUAGCUAAAUUUAGUAUAAAGAGAGAUGACAAUUAUGCUGCUACUUCACUGCACUAGAGUCUCUCAAUCCGUAGUGUCCAUUUCGCCGACGGCUAUGUGCAUGUGUGCACUUAUAAGCUUGAAUAUGCAUGUGUGUAUGUGACUGUCUGCGUCUGUACUAUUUCUUAAAAAGUAUAUUAUCUGUGGACGUGGUGUUUUGGAACUCUGGCUUGGGAUGAACAGUAAAAUCAAAUGAAAUAGGAAAAAUCCAAAAUAAAAUUGCGGCGCAAGAUCCUUCUGUGUGUGAACUCCGUGCAAAAUUUUGUGAAGUUUGGACAUCCGUGGAGUUCAUGGAAAAAAAAAGAAAAAUUCCGGAUGUCUGAGAAACUUUUGAAAAUUACACUGUCCAUGUCUGAUUUUGUAUUUUUUGCCACAAGCUCCUCACGUGUCCAAACUUCAAAAAGAAAAUUGCACAGAGUUCACGUACAGGAGCAUCUUGCACCAUAAAACAACUUGGAUUUUUUUGAAAGUUUUUCUAUUUUAUUUGAUUUUAUUGUUCACCAGGUGCAUCUAAGCUUGGGUUCUGGAUUGAAUAUCGAUUUUGUUCUAUUCUCCGCGCUUAUUCUUUUGGAGCUCUAGAAACAUAGAAUGACAAGUUUCUAAUCGUGCUUCGCCAUUAGUGGUGAUGGUUAUUGGCAAGGUAGUUCAAGAAAGUAGAACGUGGCAUCGCGCAUGGAUUCUUCAGAAACUACGAGCCCUUCAUCAGGGUGUCAAAUGAGUGGGGCACUACCGUAUAAUUGAUUUUCUUUUAGUGCUUGUUCGGUUGCAAGGGGUUUGAAGGGGAUUGGAGUGGAUUGAAGAGGAUUAAUUCCCCUACAAGUCAAAUUCCCCCUUGAUCCCCUCCAAACCCCUUCAAUCCUCUCCAAAAGAGGUUUAACCGAACAAGGCAUUAGGGAGGUUGGUUCAGGUAUUGAGUGCAUUGAGUUGAUGUCCUAAACAUGUCAAUGAGGCUUGCUUUCUAAACAUUUCCCAUUCUAAUAUAUGAUACAACAUGUUUUUGCGUAUUUUAGAAAAGCGAUGACAGGGACGUAAUUUAAAGAGUCAAUCCUUUGUUGAUGAUGAUAGUGACUUAUAUCAUCAGAUUAGUUGUUUUGAUGUAAUAUUGUCAUCUCACUUUAUUUUCAGUUGAAACCUACCGAAAACCACAUUAAGCCAUGUCAUCAUUUAAACUAGAGCAUUAAGAUAAACACAACCGUGUCACCAUGAACAUCCAUGAAAAUACUAAUUGUCAAACAGUUUUGCUAAAUCGAUUGAGACUUCCUUAUGUCUCAGCCGAUGCUAUAUUCCUUUGAUCUUGCACAGAGAUUCGUAUAAAAAAUUUCUUUUUAGUUUUUUUUCUUCUAAUACACUGUAUCAAUUGCAUGAAACAUGGUUAAAUCUCAGUUGACUGAGACCUAUCCACACCCUCAUUAUCAAAAGGCAAAUUAGUUGACUCAAAUCUCCACAACUGCAAAGGCCUAAUAGUGACUUCAAAAAAAUAAAGUUUGAGAUGGUUGUCAUGUACUCCCUCCGUUCCUAAAUAGAAGUCUUUUUAGACAUUUCAAAUAGACUACAAUAUACGGAUGUAUGUAGACAUAUUUUAAAGUGUAGAUUCAUUCAUUUUACUUCGUAUAUAGUCACUUGUUGAAAACUCUAAAAAGACAUACAUUUAGGCAGUGGCGAAGCCACGUACAAGCUGGGUAGUCAAUUGACUGCCCAGCUUUUUGGUGAAACUAGCAUAUAGGUGUAGAAAUAGUGAAAUAAAUUUGUAUAAAUUUGUAUAUUUGACUACACAAUUUCAAAUUGACUACACAAGACAAUAUUUCUGGCACCGCCACUGCAUUUAGGAACGGAGGGAGUACAUCUCUGUAUAUGGCGAUGGUUGUUGCCUUGGCGCACCGCGAGAUGCCUUUGCUCCCUUCUUGCUUCUGGCGCCUCAUCCUCCUCGUGCUAGCCGCGGAAACAGGCCAAGGCAACCGAGCAACAAAGCUCUUGAGCCCUGAGAAUCUCCUUCUGUUCUACUAGGACAUGUUUUCAUUGCCCACGAUAAAUAUGUUCCACGGGUUGCCAUACGUGCCGACAACGCAUGAUCAUUUUGGAGUUUAUCCCCGGGGACAAAUGGCACCUUAGGGAUAUAGCCAACCCAAGGGGUCAGUGUGGACCAACAUUGAAAAUAUUAAUAUGAAUUUAAUUACAUUAAAAAUAUUUUGUGCGCCAUAUAUAGGCUUCGAGGAAUUUCUAGGAUGACCAUGGACCACCUUGUCCAUCCCCUAGCUACAUCCAUGUGCACUAUAAAAGCAACUCCAACGCGCCGACCCAAAUUGUCUGUGCGUGUUCAUUUGGAUCGAAACAGACACAAAAGACGGCCCAACGCAGUGACCCAAAUGGAUGAGCGUUCAUUUUUUGUCCACGCACGACCCAUUUCAGGCGUGUGAUGUGCGCGACGCCGCCCUUGUCCUCCCCUGGCCCACCAGUCGGUGGCACAUUGGCAAUUUCAUCGUCCUCCCAGCGACAUCCAGCAAACCCGGCCGCCCCACCCAUCGCCGCCGGCGCCCAGUUCCGGUGCACAUGCUAGCCGUCCACACCCACAUACCUCCCCCCGCAGCACGUCACCUUCCAACGUCGCUGCUACCACCGCCACCGCAACAUCACGAUGUCGCCGCCGCCACCCCCUGCCCGCAGCACCCAUGCGCAGCGUCCGGCUCCGCCAUGCCCGCUGGACACCGACAAGCCUUCUAGCUGGUCCAGGAGAGGCCCGAGGCUCUUCAUCGACCAGCUUCUUCCACGACGCCCGCAAGUUGUUCGACGGUUUGCCUGCAAGGUAUAAAUGGACUCCGUCGACGAGUUCUUUUUUCACAAUUUCAUUUACGACUUUGAUGAUUCUUCAUCCGACGAUGAGGAGCUUGUGGCUGAUGUAUGGGUCGUCCAUGACCACCUUAGUAGGCAGCGGCCCAUGUUUAGGGGCUCGAUCCCGGGGCACACUCCGGCGUUCAAUUGCAACUAAGGGAGCAGCGGCCAUUGCCUACUCUGGCAGGACUACUUCGAGUCCCCCUACCCGCUCUUCAAACACAACCUAUUCCAGCGCCGCUUUCGUAUGGCUUGUUCAACUAUAUCCGAGAGGGAGUGGUAGCAUACGAUAAGUAUUUUGAGUGUAAGGAGGAUGCCCUAGGAAAGAUUGACUUCUCCUCUUAUCAGAAAUGCACUGCAACUAUUCCGAUGCUUGCAUACAGAUUUUUCGGUAUCUCAUUAAUGAGAAUGUCUGAAUGAGCAAGUCCACGUGCCUAGACUCCAUGUAUAGGUUCUGCAAGGCUGUGAUAGCAGUGUUUGGCCCGGAGCACUUGAGAGAGCCAAAUGGUGCAGAUACAGCCCGUUAUUGGCGAUCAAUGUCCGUAGGGGCUUUCCGGGGAUGCUUGGUAGCAUAGAUUGUAUGCACUGGGACUGGAAGAACUGUCCUUCUGCUUAGCAAGGGCAGUAUAGGGGCCAUGUCAAAGCUUGCACUAUCAUACUUGAGGUCGUGGCUUCACAAGAUCUCUGGAUUUGACACUCUUUCUUCGGCAUGGCCGAAUCUCACAACGAUAUCAACGUGCUUCAACGCUCUUUGGUGUUUGCAAGGCUUGCAGAAGGAAACUGCCUGGAGGUCAAUGUUGAGAUCAAUGGCCACCACUAUAACAAAGGAUAUUACCUAGCCGACAGUACCUAUCCUCAGUGGACUACUCUUGCAAAGACAAUCCCUAACCUAUAGGAGAGAAGAGGAAGAGAUUUGCCCAAGAGCAAGAGAGUGCUAGGAAGGAUGUGGAGCAUGCCUUUGGUGUUCUUCAAUCUCGAUGGGCAUCGUUCGGUAUCCUGCUAGAACUUGGAGCACUUGUGGGAGGUGAUGACUGCUUGCGUGAUCAUGCACAAUAUGGUCGUAGAGGAUGAGCGGCCGGAACGUAUCUACGACCAAGAGUUUCAGUUUCAGGGUGAAAAUAUUGUGGUCGAGCAUGGAGGAGUGACAACAUUUGCGCAGUUAACCGAAUUUCAUUAUCAAAUGCGUGAUUGAGAAACUCAUAUUCAACUGCAAAAUGAUUUGGUUGAGUAUAUGUGGGCUCACAUUGGCAACUUAUAGAUGUAACGGCUAUCUUUUUUUAUGUAUUUGAUAAUUAAAUUUUUUUGGCUUGUAAACUAUGAGAUUUUAUUUGGUUGUGAAACUAUGAGAUAUUUAUAUUUUGUUUGAAUUACGUGAACCAAGACCAAAUUUUCAUAUGUUUGCAAAAAGAGCUAAAAAUGAUCGCGGGCCGGCCUUGAGGACGAAAAUGCGUCCGCGCGUUGGGCGCACGGCCGAUCCAAACACCAAAAGGGGUGAACAAGCCGACCAAACGGAUAAAAAGCGGACAAAACGCACGUCCGUUUGUGUCGGCGCGAUGGAGUUGCUCUAACUGCUGCAUUAUGCUCCAUCUCAAUGCAUGUAUAUUUGACCUAAAGGCAUGUUUAGUUAGUCUGAUAGAUUUGACGAUUCUUAAAAAGCAUUUCCUGGUCUUCAUUAGCUUGGGUUAAAAACCCAUUUUCCCUUAUAAGUUUUACCCAAAUGGUUUCAAAUAAAAACACCCACACAUGCCACUUCAUUUCCUCCUUGGUUUUCCCAAUGUGUUUCUAAUGUCAUUGGCAUGUACCUUGAUUAGGCCGGAUGAGGUUGAUGCGAUUUCAUUUUCUCCUUAAGUGGCCCAUUCAUUCCGCCGUCAAAAAGCUACAGUACUAGUUCGGGCUGCACUUAUUUGCACGGACGCUAUGCUACAGUAGGACUGCGUUUCCAAGAAGAGCAUGCGCGCACGAACUUUGCAUGCGCGCCCUGCCCCAAGGCGGCCACGCACGAGUUAGGCAAAAGACUUCGGGGGCCAGACUCUUUUCGUGUUCUUCCCACGGCACGGCGGUAUAAAUUGCCGGCGCGCCAUAUUUGUCUGCCCGGCCGGCGGCAAAAAAGAUCAUUUCGAUAGCUAGCUUCCUGAUCGAGCGAGCUAGCGAGCCCCAUGCAUGCAACUUCUUCGCAGCCUCCCUCCACCCCGGCCCCUGCCGAUCAGCUCCACCAUCCGAGAGCUUUGUAGGUGACUUACUCGCCUGGUGAUUAGCAGGCAGGAAGUAGCUGGUUUUUAACCCGGCGCACCGCCCACCUACUCGCCAUCUCCUCCGGUUCUACACCGCAGCAACAUCGAUCGUUUACCCUCUGUACGUACCUAGCCCGUACCUGACGACGGUGACCUCCCUCCUUGGCGCCAUGGGGAGCUCGUGCGUGAACCUCUCCCGCGCCGUCGCCGCCGCGAGGCGCCCGGGCUUCGCCGGCGGCGUCGGCGGCCACGGGAGGAGCGUGGUUGCAUUGUCGUCGUCGUCGUCGUCGAGGAGGCGCACUGCCGCCGACGGCGGCUUGUCGUGCGGCAUCGCCAACGGGUACCUGGGCGGCUCGUCGGGUGGGUCGCGGCCGCCUUCCUUGCCGGUGCACGGCAAGAGCUCCGGGCCCGGUUCGGCGCGGGAGGCGGGUGGUCACGAUCACGCUGACGGGCUCGGGAUCCAGGAGUUCCUUGGCGGCAAGAACUUCCUCAUCACCGGCGGGACUGGCUUCCUAGCAAAAGGUACGUUUAUGUCGCCAUCUUCAUAGUUCUCUCUGCCUCCACUUGAUUAUCGCUGCCAUUUUCGUGCUCGAUUUCGUUUCGAAUUUAUUUAUCUACCGUGUCAGUUCUGAUCGAGAAAAUCUUGAGGACGAACCCUGACGUGGGCAAGAUAUACGUGCUGAUCAAGGCCAAGGACAGCGAGACGGCAUUGCAGAGACUGCAAAAUGAGGUAUGACUACUAACUAACCAUACCCUAACCCUACCAGUUUUGAUCUUCAUCCAAACGAUGAUAUUCUUUUCCAUUUUCCCGUGCGCGGCAUUCGUGCAGGUGGUGGACACGGAGCUGUUCAAGCGCCUGCAGGAGAUCCACGGCAAAGACUACCAAGGUUUCAUAGCGACAAAGCUUGUCCCCGUAGUUGGCGACGUCAGGGAGACCAACAUCGGCAUUGCCCCCGAGCUGGCCGAUGAGAUCGCGGAGCGGGUGGACAUCAUCGUCAACUCCGCCGCCAAUACCACCUUCGACGAGAGGUUCGUCCUUCUAUAAUAUAUACGUGCACUUGUCUUCUAGCUAGAGUUUUUGCAUUGCUCCAAGAUUCAGUCACUCCAUCGUGUGAAACAGAAUUUUACAUCUGAAUAUUCAACCAGGUAUGAUGUCGCCAUGGACAUCAACACCGUGGGGCCGUUCCGGAUAAUGAGUUUCGCGCAUCGGUUUCGAAGGCUGAAGCUCUUCCUGCAAGUGUCCACAGGUCAGGCUCAUGCCAUCUGCCAAAUGAAUCCUUUCCGCGUGAAAGCGAUGUUUACUUAGAAUUUUCCCUUUGGGGGGGUUUCCAACGGUUGUGUUGCAUUUGCAUGACAUAAUAACCAUGCAUGAUCGCAGCGUAUGUGAACGGGCAGAGGCAGGGUGUCGUGCUGGAGAAGCCGUUUCGGUUGGGAGACACCAUAGGGAAAGGGUCGGCUGGAUCCUCGGAUUCUUCGGAGCAGCACAAGAACGCCGUGCUGGACAUCGAGGCGGAGAUCAAGCUGGCCUUCGACUCGAGAAGGCGCGCCGAUGAUGACUCGGCUUCGUUCUCUCAGGAGAUGAAGGAUCUGGGGCUAGAGAGGUAAGCAAUGCAUACAUUUCUUGCCAUGACCUCCUUGGUCUCGGUCUGAAGGUGCGACAUUAGUUUGAUUUGCUGAACGUGCUGGUUACUCCUGUAGAGCGAAGCUCCAUGGGUGGCAGGACACCUACGUGUUCACCAAGGCCAUGGGGGAGAUGGUGAUCAACAGCAUGCGAGGGGAGAUCCCCGUGGUCACCAUCAGGCCGAGCGUGAUCGAGAGCACCUGGAGAGACCCCUUCCCGGGCUGGAUGGAAGGGAACAGGUACGUACGUGAGUGUAGAAUGUGGUACGAUCUUGCAGAGUUCAUCAACAUUCUGUUUCUGAUUUCCAUUGGCCAAUUGAUUUGCUCGAACAGGAUGAUGGACCCUGUCGUCCUCUACUACGGCAAAGGGCAGCUCAGCGGGUUCCUCGCCGAUCCGGCCGGCGUUCUUGACGUGGUAAUCAGCUACGCAUUCCCUAAUUAAGCAAAUGUACGCAGUGAGGCCAUGGAGCUGAUCUCGCAGAUGCUAAUGGCUUUCUUGUUGUGUCCUUUGGCAAGGUUCCGGCGGACAUGGUGGUGAACGCGACGCUGGCGACGAUGGCGAAGCACGGCCAGGCGGCGGAGGGGGGAAUGCACGUGUACCACGUGGCGUCGUCGACGGUGAACCCGCUGGUGUUCGGCGACCUGAGCCGGUUCCUGUUCCAGCACUUCACGAGGAGCCCCUACAGCGAUGCGGCGGGGCAGCCCAUCGCCGUGCCGCCCAUGCGCCUCUUCGACACCAUGGAGCAGUUCGCCAGCUACGUCGAGACGGACGCGCUGCUCCGGAGCGCCAGGGCCGGCAUCCCCGCCGACGAGCGCCUCUCGCAGCGCCUCCAGGAGCUCUGCGCCAAGUCCGUCGAGCAGACCAUCCACCUCGGCAGCAUCUACCAGCCCUACACUUUCUACACCGGCAGGUCAUCUUUCUCUCUCCCACCCAUGGCAUGUCAUUUAUAUGUUUUGUUUGCUCAAAGCUGCUACCAUGCGUCGCCGGCGAUGGACGGCGUAUGCAGGUUCGACAAUGGCAACACGGAGGGGCUCAUGGCGGAGAUGUCGGCAGAGGAGAAGGCAGCGUUCCACUUCAACGUGAGGAGCAUCGACUGGACGGACUACAUCACCAACGUCCACAUCCCAGGGCUCAGGAAGCACGUCAUGAAAGGGAGGGGCAUCACCGCGGAAUCGCCACCCUCCUCCACGGUGCUCGCCGCCACCUCCACAGUGUGAACCCACCGCCGUAACACCGAACACCGAAAUGCGCCGCGGCGUGUACACUAGAGUUAGAUGUAUCAAGUGCCUAAGCACGUGAUCCAC
This 36227-nucleotide long non-coding RNA is filed under the name Triticum aestivum (bread wheat). Its description in RNAcentral is "long non-coding RNA (TAES_LNC003666)". The stretch from base 12733 to 12847 matches the Rfam family "MIR1120/MIR1122 microRNA precursor family". The record is from RNAcentral. Lineage: Eukaryota; Viridiplantae; Streptophyta; Magnoliopsida; Poales; Poaceae.